GGCAACAGUUUGUGGUGUAGUGGUUAUCACGUGUCGUUCACAUUCAGCUGAACAAUUGUCUCCCGACAAGGUCCCCGGUUCGAUCCCGGGCAAAGUCA
Lithohypha guttulata is the source of this 98-nucleotide non-coding RNA. The record is from the annotation of a RefSeq genome assembly. Lineage: Eukaryota; Fungi; Ascomycota; Eurotiomycetes; Chaetothyriales; Trichomeriaceae.